Molecule: long non-coding RNA, 946 nt
Filed under: Setaria viridis
Lineage: Eukaryota; Viridiplantae; Streptophyta; Magnoliopsida; Poales; Poaceae
Description: long non-coding RNA (SVIR_LNC007312)
Source: RNAcentral
AGAGAGAGAGAGAGAGAGAGAGUUAAGCAGGCAAGUACGCGCUUGCAUGCAUGAAUAUUUUAGGUUGAGCAGUCGUCAGGUAUUGCGAUCAAUUUCGCCAUUUGUGGCUGCUUCUUGUGCUGUCGACGAUGGCCCAUGGGUACACAAUCUAAAGCUGGCUGAGUAAAGGUGCAGCUACCUUUUCAUGAAUGCAAGAGCAUCAACGUCUGUUUCAAUCAUAGUUUGCAGAGUAUCACCACUCAUACCUUUACAUAUAAUGGAUUCAGUCAGAUAAUUGCAGAAAAAUCAUACAGAGAUUGUUACGCUAGAGUUUUGGCAUCAGAGUGUUUGCACAAGUCGGGGGGGUCCGGUGAUUGAAGAACUGCACACGUCAGAGAGCAAGAAGCACAAGAAGUUCUUGCACCCCACAUCUUAUAUAAUUAAAAGUAAGAUCAUGAAUGGUGGAAUCGUUUUUUAUAGUCAAAUAAAAUCUGUGUGAUUGCUUUCUCUAAAAAGAUUCUAAUAUUCAUAUGACUAGACUUCUUUUGUUUCUGUGAAAAAAGAUGACAACGACCUGUACAUCAGUCCGCGUGACAGAUUUCGAUCAGAAGCCUUGCAUGCAUGCAUGCAUGGAUACAGUUUGUCCCGUGAAGGCUUAGCAGCAGCAGGGACGUACUCUUCAGUCUCCAUGUGGCCGACGCCAUCCGCGCUCUCGCGUCACUCUCACGUGAGCGCGGUGAGCCCCGGCCCGCCGCCCGCCGGCCGGCCGGCCGGGGAUCUCCUCGCGGUCGUACCCAUCCUCGUUGCGUCGCAUGCACGCACGAGCCCCGAGAUUCCUCAGGCAUCCCGUCAUGCAUUCUCCAACGGGGUGUCCAGCCGGCGAUUUGCCUGGAUCACGUGACUAGAAAGGACCAAGGUGGCAUAUAUCAUUGCCUAAUAAUUGCGCCGGCCAGGGAGUGCGCUUGGG